AAAAUAUUUUCAUAAAGAAAAAGCAUGCAUGAGCGAAGUAACAGAAAGGAGUAAAACAUGAAGCAUCAUUAUUCAUAAAGGCAAGGAGCGGGCUAUAAAGAGCCUUUAUUCAAAAGAAAGAGACAAAAACAAAAGUCUCAAAAGAUAAAGAUCAAUUAGAAAGAAGGUCCCUUCGAGAAUCGUGACCCUAUAACAGAUCUCGAGGUUGCAGCAUGGGAGAAACUCUCCGGUCGAUGGUUAAACCCUCCAUAUAAAAACAGGUGACACCGAUAUUCUUCUUC
This 281-nucleotide long non-coding RNA is filed under the name Brassica napus (rape). RNAcentral's name for it is "long non-coding RNA (BNAP_LNC025392)". The record is from RNAcentral. Lineage: Eukaryota; Viridiplantae; Streptophyta; Magnoliopsida; Brassicales; Brassicaceae.